This 253-nucleotide ribosomal RNA is filed under the name uncultured bacterium. RNAcentral describes it as "partial 16S ribosomal RNA". It matches the Rfam family "Bacterial small subunit ribosomal RNA", at positions 524 to 776 of the family's 1533-position model. The record is from RNAcentral.
UACGUAGGGCGCAAGCGUUGUUCGGAAUUACUGGGCGUAAAGGGCGCGCAGGCGGCUAUCCAAGUCAGUGGUGAAAGCCCGGAGCUCAACUCCGGAACUGCCAUUGAAACUGUUUAGCUUGAGUAUGAGAGAGGUGAGUGGAAUUCCCAGUGUAGAGGUGAAAUUCGUAGAUAUUGGGAAGAACACCGGUGGCGAAGGCGGCUCACUGGCUCAUUACUGACGCUCAGGCGCGACAGCGUGGGGAUCAAACAGG